AACGAACGCUGGCGGCAUGCCUAACACAUGCAAGUCGAACGAGACCUUCGGGUCUAGUGGCGCACGGGUGCGUAACGCGUGGGAACCUGCCCUUAGGUUCGGAAUAACUCCCCGACAGGGGUGCUAAUACCGGAUAAUGUCUUCGGACCAAAGAUUUAUCGCCUUUGGAUGGGCCCGCGUUGGAUUAGCUAGUUGGUAGGGUAAAAGCCUACCAAGGCGACGAUCCAUAGCUGGUCUGAGAGGAUGAUCAGCCACACUGGGACUGAGACACGGCCCAGACUCGUACGGGAGGGAGCAGUGGGGAAUAUUGGACACGGGACGAAAGCGUGAUCCAGCAAUGCCGCGGGAGUGAUGAAGGCCUUAGGGUUGUAAAGCUCUUUUACCCGGGAUGAUAAUGACAGUACCGGGAGAAUAAGCUCCGGCUAACUCCGUG
RNAcentral lists this ribosomal RNA (433 nucleotides) under uncultured bacterium. Its description in RNAcentral is "partial 16S ribosomal RNA". It matches the Rfam family "Bacterial small subunit ribosomal RNA", at positions 29 to 507 of the family's 1533-position model. The record is from RNAcentral.